This 77-nucleotide transfer RNA is filed under the name Bacillus cereus G9842. Its description in RNAcentral is "tRNA-Glu". It matches the Rfam family "tRNA". From Rfam's summary of the family: Transfer RNA (tRNA) molecules are approximately 80 nucleotides in length. Their secondary structure includes four short double-helical elements and three loops (D, anti-codon, and T loops). Further hydrogen bonds mediate the characteristic L-shaped molecular structure. tRNAs have two regions of fundamental functional importance: the anti-codon, which is responsible for specific mRNA codon recognition, and the 3' end, to which the tRNAs corresponding amino acid is attached (by aminoacyl-tRNA synthetases). tRNAs cope with the degeneracy of the genetic code in two manners: having more than one tRNA (with a specific anti-codon) for a particular amino acid; and 'wobble' base-pairing, i.e. permitting non-standard base-pairing at the 3rd anti-codon position. Lineage: Bacteria; Bacillati; Bacillota; Bacilli; Caryophanales; Bacillaceae. The record is from RNAcentral. RNAcentral also lists the same sequence under 18 other names.
UGGCCCGUUGGUCAAGUGGUUAAGACACCGCCCUUUCACGGCGGUAACACGGGUUCGAAUCCCGUACGGGUCAUGUU